AGAAAGGAGAAAGAAAGUGGGGCUGAAAGCGUGGAGCUUGAAGAAAUAAUGGCUGAAAACUUCCUAAAUUUGGUGAAAUACAUAAACCUACAGAUUCAAGAAGCCAAUUGAACCUCAAAUAGAAUAAAGUCCCUGCCAAGACACAUCAUAAUCAAACGUCUGAAAACUAAAGACAAAAGCAUCUUAAAACCAAAGGAACAAAAUGAAAAAAGACAUUAAUUAUAGGAAAGCACCCAUUUGGAUUUCUCAUAUGGAACAAUGGAGACCAGAAGGAAGUGGUACCACAUUUUUCAAGACAAGAAAUCCAAAUUGGAGUUUUCCAUAGGUCAGCAGAAGACUCAAGGGGGAUGGAUCACAAAUUAAGUACCAGUGAUUACAGUCGAAAGGCUGAGCGGUCAGUUAUAAAUGGGAUCAUCUGGAUUUUG
Molecule: long non-coding RNA, 425 nt
Filed under: Homo sapiens (human)
Lineage: Eukaryota; Metazoa; Chordata; Mammalia; Primates; Hominidae
Description: HSALNT0372347
Source: RNAcentral